AAGUCCUGCAACGAGCGCAACCCCUAUAUUUAGUUGCCAGCACAUAAUGGUGGGGACUCUAGAUAGACUGCCCGGAAUAACCGGGAGGAAGGUGGGGAUGAUGUCAAGUCAGUAUGUCCCUUAUACCCAGGGCUACACACGUGUUACAAUGGAUAGUACAAAAAGUCGCAAUCCCGCGAGGAGGAGCCAAUCUUUAAAACUAUCCCCAGUUCAGAUUGAAGUCUGAAAUUCGACUUCAUGAAGCAGGAAUCGCUAGUAAUCGUAGGUCAGCACACUACGGUGAAUACGUUCCCGGGUCUU
This 300-nucleotide ribosomal RNA is filed under the name uncultured bacterium. Its description in RNAcentral is "bacterial SSU rRNA". It matches the Rfam family "Bacterial small subunit ribosomal RNA", at positions 1082 to 1382 of the family's 1533-position model. The record is from RNAcentral.